AUGGAAAGCAUAGUGCCCAACAAUCCAUCAACUGUACUCACAUUCAUCCUUAUCCGUACCCACACUUUUAUGGUGUUUUGUUUUAUUUUUUUUUGUUUUUUCCCAGAAGGGAAAAGGAGGGUGGCACAGGGAGAGAUUUCUUUUUUGCCAGAUGAAAUAGCUGCACUUGAAGGCAGGGCUUGCAGCAGGACUCUCUGCAUUUGUUGCAUUAUAUUACCCAGGGCCUGAUGCAACUCAGCUUAAGGUAAAUUUUCUUUUUUUGUGCAUAAUGCCAUUCUAUUAACUCAAGCUGUUCCUCUCAUCUUGCUUACCUGUAAGGUUCCCAUAACUUAAAUGAUUUCUGCAUAAGAAGCAGAAAUCCCCGCGUAACCAACAGAAGAGGGAUUGUUACCGAUCCAUUAGGAGGCAGUUAUUCCUGCUAUUAAGAAAGCCUGCUCUGCACCACCUCAUCUCAGUUCUUAGCAAUUCUUCAUAUUUUAGAAAAAGUACAAAUUUAUUGUAUUUCUGGCAUUUCUCAGCCCUGGAUCUCCGUUCUCCCACACAUGCUUUCCUGAUGUUAUUUCUGUACAAAUGAACACAGAAGCUUAAAUACAACUUUGGAAGUACUCUAUAUUAAAACUAUACUGUACAGUAAUAUCGUCUAACAUGCUUCUGAUAUGCUAGUACAGAAUGAGAUUUUUCACACAUCAACAGCUUAUGUGGCAUUCCAGUUUUCACUUCAGCAACCUCAGUAACACAAGCAAGCUGCUUUCUGUUAAAUGUUUUACAUUGCUACACUGCAGUACGGCAUACAACUUCAUAUACAGUCCAAAGAUUGGUUACAGCGUAAAAUAUUUAAGUAAGUUUCCUUAAAGCACUGAAAGUUAGAAAUAACUACAAACCAGGGGUUUUCUUCAUAAUUUUUAAUACUUUUCACUUUAAAUACUGGUUUUAAAUUUGUGAUUGUAACAUAGAAGAGCCAACUUUUAAUUUUUAAAACUUAUCAUUAGGAUCAUAAAGCUAUUAUAUAACAGUUACACUCUACACACUCAAGGUACUCAAAAAUAUGAUUCAUGUUCUGAGUCUGUAGAUGAACAGUGGCAAUUCAAAUACAGCGUUAUCUGUACAACGUGACAAAAAUACAGGUGGACAAUCUGAUUAGUUUAAAGAGAAUCUGCACAACUUCAGAUAAGCCAGCUCAGCCCAACUAACAGAAGGGUAAUUUCCCCUCAGCCCAUAAAUGCACCAUACUUCUCACACCUAAGUUGCUCAAAGUAAGUUGUUCAGUUUCCCAGACGGGCUAACAAUGACUAUUGCUCAUCCUCGCUCCCAUGAGUUCUAUCAAGCUAUUUCCUUAGACUGCCAUAUCCCCAGCCCUUCAUAUGGGCUCAAGUUACAGAAACAUCUAUCCUAGAGCAAAGGGCUUCUUCUGCAAUUCUGCAAAGAAAAUCAUAGCAGUAUCAAUUCUACAGAUUCAUUAACAGGAUGAAAAGAACACAGAGUGCUCAUAUUUGUGGCAGUGGGAAAAGGGUUCAGCUCUGGAGAAAUUUUAUAGAACCAUAACAGGAAGAUCUCUUCUGGAAGAAAGGCUCUGAUGGCUACUUGCACACAGACAAUCCAACAGGCCUAAAGAAAGCUGCUUUUUUUUUUUUUUUUUUUNNNNNNNNNNNNNNNNNNNNNNNNNNNNNNNNNNNNNNNNNNNNNNNNNNNNNNNNNNNNNNNNNNNNNNNNNNNNNNNNNNNNNNNNNNNNNNNNNNNNAAAAAAAAAAAAAAAAAAAGGAAUUCAAAAGCAUAGAAGAAGAAACUAAAAUGACUGAUGAUGAGUAGGGUCUUAGAAGACAAGGACACAAGAGACAGCAAUCAGAUUGAAUAAAAGCAGCUAGUAGAACAAACAUGUGAACCAUAUAAAACCAGAAUUAUAACCUAAAACAUUGGACUCCAAGACAAAGAAGUUUAACAUCUAGCACAGAUAAUAAAUAAUUUGGUAAUGAGAGAGAACGGACAAAACCAUUAAAAAGCCAGUUAAAUACAAUGCAAGUUUUUUUCUUUUUUCAAGCUAGCAGAAGGUUCACAGUUGUAGCUCCUACCUAUGAAGGGUAAGUAAAUAAAUUCCAUUGGAGUGUAUUUCACUCGCUGCUUCAAACUUGGAACAGUUGUCUGUCACAUAUAGUUUCAUGGAAGCUUAUCACUCACCACAAGGAUCACCAUAUCUAAUGUGUGAGAAAGAAAAUAAGACUUACCUUGUGUUGUUCUAUUGCAUCUACCCACUGUUGUCUGUGGUCUGGGUCCUGAGCUCGAAGAUACCAAACACUAUCAUUUACACUAAUAUCAAAUCUGCAUUCGUCAAAGUCAUGGGGCUGUGAAAAAAAGAGUGUAAGAAAAGCUGGAAUUAGUAACAUGUUCAACAGUAUCUUACAGAAUAUUCUGACAAUCAAACAUGGUAAUUAGCAAAGCCUGUCUUUGAUUCAAAAUGCCAUUUUAUGCAGCUCUCUCAAAUAAUAAACUAAUGUACACUUUCACAAUGAAAAGUGUCUGUUUUCUGAAAAAGAAGCUGAAAUGAAAAGUGGGAGACAGAAGCCAAACUGCUGAAUAUGUUCUUAUUAAAGAAAAAUUAUCAUAAAAAGUGUUCAACACAAAUACUGACCAACAUUUCAUACUUUCAAACCAAUUUUUUUUUAGCAUCUAGUGGACACAGAACAAAGUACACUACUAUUAUUGUUCUUUUAAAAUAUCAAAGCAAGAGAUGAAUUCAAGUUAUUGCUGUUAGUACUGAUUUUAGAUGGAAGACAAACAACAUAGCAAAACCCACUAAGACAGAACUGUAAAAACUGACUACAGCAAAAUGACAUGGAAGAGAAAAAAAGGAAGCUGUUGUACUCUCAGCCUCCAGCUAUUUUUGCCAUCUAAGACAAGAAUAUCAGAUAAUCGAAAGCAACAUUCAAUCCUUUCCCAUACCACUUAUUCAAUGCACCUAAACUUUACAAUGAAGGCAGAUGAGAUGUAAAGGGGGACAAAAUAAUCUCAUCUGCCUUGCACCUGACAUUGUCAAAAUAAAUUCCUAGCCAACACCCAAAAGAAUACAGCUUUUCCCUUUAUUUAAAGUUACUCUUUAUAAAGUCUUAUUGUUACGGCUGAAUACCUUCACUUUUUUUGCUACAUGAAAAAAAAAAAUCUGCUAAAUGUGAAAAUAUGGCAGGAAGCAAAAAGGCUCUUAGCUUAAGGCAAGUAAUGUGAUCUCAAGGUCCACAAAUUCCUGACCCCAACAACAAGGCUACAACAGUCAAUGUUCUUCGCAGUAUAUGAACUAGAUAGACUACAGUAUGCUAAUCUUGCAGACAGUUAAGGCACUGUACAUCAAUCACGAAACACUCCUCAAACAAAAACCAAAGAGCAAGUCUCAUUUGUUCGUUUCACGGAAGAAUCCAUAGUGCCAGUCAGAAUUAUUUUCAAAGGAUCUGAAAAUUAAAAGCUACUUACAUAUAAUACACAAUCCUUCCGGUUUAGAUCUAUGGGAGGAAUAAUAGGAGAUACAGCAGAAACCAAUAAUCAAAAUCAAACAAAAAGGAGCUCUGAGUUUAACGGGAGUACAUGAAAGCUCCUUUUUU
Long non-coding RNA from Meleagris gallopavo (turkey), 3584 nucleotides. The record is from Ensembl. Lineage: Eukaryota; Metazoa; Chordata; Aves; Galliformes; Phasianidae.